RNAcentral lists this ribosomal RNA (253 nucleotides) under uncultured bacterium. Its description in RNAcentral is "partial 16S ribosomal RNA". It matches the Rfam family "Bacterial small subunit ribosomal RNA", at positions 524 to 776 of the family's 1533-position model. The record is from RNAcentral.
UACAGAGGUCUCGAGCGUUAGGCGGAAUCACUGGGCUUAAAGCGUGUGUAGGCGGGGCGUUAAGUGCCUUGUGAAAUCCCAUGGCUCAACCAUGGAACUGCUGGGCAUACUGGCGAUCUUGUGCAACCUAGGGGCGAGCGGAACAGAUGGUGGAGCGGUGAAAUGCGUAGAUAUCAUCUGGAACGCCAAUGGUGAAAACAGCUCGCUGGGGGUUUGCAGACGCUGAGACACGAAAGCCAGGGGAGCGAACGGG